RNAcentral lists this long non-coding RNA (387 nucleotides) under Vigna radiata. RNAcentral describes it as "long non-coding RNA (VRAD_LNC015776)". The record is from RNAcentral. Lineage: Eukaryota; Viridiplantae; Streptophyta; Magnoliopsida; Fabales; Fabaceae.
UACUUUCUACUGUUCACAUGUCACAUAAAAAUUUAUUGUCAUUCAUCUAAAACAAUCAAAAUCUUCACAUGCAUAUGUCAUCACAAGGACUUUUUCAAAGGCUUGUAUUGUGGUUGGGCUAUCAAGAAAAUCGUUUUUUCUGGAAUACAAAAUCCUUGAGUUAAGAGAGUUUAAUUCAUCAUUCAAAGUUCAAACACACUCUUUCUUUAACCAAUCUCACUCAUUCCCAACUUUUUCCCUUUUUCCUUUUAGCUUUUUUCAUUGAGUUCAUUUUACAUGCUUUUCUGUUUUCUUCUUUUCUUUUCUUUCUCAUGCAUUUUUCUUUUUCAUCAUUUGAACUCAAUGCUUUUGCUUUUGCCUUUUUCUUUCCCCAUACAACCCCAAACU